CCGAGAGAUCGGGCGUUCCCCUUCGGGGGACAGGGUGACAGGUGGUGCAUGGUUGUCGUCAGCUCGUGUCGUGAGAUGUGGUUAAGUCCCGCAACGAGCGCAACCCUCGACCUUAGUUGCCAGCAUUCAGUUGGGCACUCUAAGGUGACUGCCGGCUAAAAGUCGGAGGAAGGUGGGGAUGACGUCAAAUCAUCAUGCCCCUUAUGACCUGGGCUACACACGUGCUACAAUGGGCGGUACAAAGGGUCGCGAACCCGCGAGGGGGAGCCAAUCCCAAAAAGCCGCUCUCAGUUCGGAUUGCAGGCUGCAACUCGCCUGCAUGAAGCCGGAAUCGCUAGUAAUCGCGGAUCAGCAUGCCGCGGUGAAUACGUUCCCGGGCCUU
Molecule: ribosomal RNA, 382 nt
Filed under: uncultured Anoxybacillus sp.
Lineage: Bacteria; Bacillati; Bacillota; Bacilli; Caryophanales; Anoxybacillaceae
Description: bacterial SSU rRNA
Rfam family: Bacterial small subunit ribosomal RNA
Source: RNAcentral